GACGAACGCUGGCGGCGUGCUUAACACAUGCAAGUCGAACGGAAAGGCCCUGCUUUUGUGGGGUGCUCGAGUGGCGAACGGGUGAGUAACACGUGAGUAACCUGCCCUUGACUUUGGGAUAACUUCAGGAAACUGGGGCUAAUACCGGAUAGGAGCUCCUGCUGCAUGGUGGGGGUUGGAAAGUUUCGGCGGUUGGGGAUGGACUCGCGGCUUAUCAGCUUGUUGGUGGGGUAGUGGCUUACCAAGGCUUUGACGGGUAGCCGGCCUGAGAGGGUGACCGGCCACAUGGGGACUGAGAUACGGCCAGGACUCCUACGGGAGGCAGCGGGGGGGAUUAUGGCACAACGGGCGGAAGCCGGAUGCAGAAACGCCGCGUGCGGGAUGAGGGCCUUCGGGUUGUAAACCGCUUUCGCCGGUGACGAAGCGGGAGUGACGGUAAUGGGUAAAGAAGCACCGGCUAACUACGG
This 467-nucleotide ribosomal RNA is filed under the name uncultured bacterium. Its description in RNAcentral is "partial 16S ribosomal RNA". It matches the Rfam family "Bacterial small subunit ribosomal RNA", at positions 28 to 506 of the family's 1533-position model. The record is from RNAcentral.